Molecule: ribosomal RNA, 490 nt
Filed under: uncultured bacterium
Lineage: Bacteria
Description: partial 16S ribosomal RNA
Rfam family: Bacterial small subunit ribosomal RNA
Source: RNAcentral
AUUGAACGCUGGCGGCAGGCCUAGCACAUGCAAGUCGAACGGUAACAGGAAGCAGCUUGCUGCUUCGCUGACGAGUGGCGGACGGGUGAGUAAUGUCUGGGAAACUGCCUGAUGGAGGGGGAUAACUACUGGAAACGGUAGCUAAUACCGCAUAACGUCGCAAGACCAAAGAGGGGGACCUUAGGGCCUCUUGCCAUCGGAUGUGCCCAGAUGGGAUUAGCUAGUAGGUGGGGUAACGGCUCACCUAGGCGACGAUCCCUAGCUGGUCUGAGAGGAUGACCAGCCACACUGGAACUGAGACACGGUCCAGACUCCUACGGGAGGCAGCAGUGGGGAAUAUUGCACAAUGGGCGCAAGCCUGAUGCAGCCAUGCCGCGUGUAUGAAGAAGGCCUUCGGGUUGUAAAGUACUUUCAGCGGGGAGGAAGGGAGUAAAGUUAAUACCUUUGCUCAUUGACGUUACCCGCAGAAGAAGCACCGGCUAGCUCCGUG